Molecule: small nucleolar RNA, 130 nt
Organism: Siniperca chuatsi (mandarin fish)
Lineage: Eukaryota; Metazoa; Chordata; Actinopteri; Centrarchiformes; Sinipercidae
Product: small nucleolar RNA ACA64
Exons: 1
Source: RefSeq, a predicted model, not a curated record
UCAGACUGAAAAUGAUCUCAGAUGUAACAGUGGUCUGAAGUCAGAUAACUGAGCCUAAAGUAUCGUGGUGCGUUAAGCUUAUCACCUGCUCACCUACUGGCAGAGCGAUAAAACCCAUGUACCAACAAAA